RNAcentral lists this ribosomal RNA (271 nucleotides) under Lysinibacillus sp. RNAcentral's name for it is "partial 16S ribosomal RNA". It matches the Rfam family "Bacterial small subunit ribosomal RNA", at positions 55 to 318 of the family's 1533-position model. The record is from RNAcentral. Lineage: Bacteria; Bacillati; Bacillota; Bacilli; Caryophanales; Bacillaceae.
AUACAUGUCGAGCGAACAGAAUAGGAGCUUGCUCCUUUGACUUUGCGGCGGACGGGGGAGAACACGUGGGCAACCUACCCUAUAGUUUGGGAUAACUCCGGGAAACGGGGGCUAAUACUCCAAUAAUCUCUUUUACUUCAUGGUGAAGGACUGAAAGACGGUUUCGGCUGUCGCUAUAGGAUGGGCCCGCGGCGCAUUAGCUAGUUGGUGAGGUAACGGCUCUCAAGGCGACUAUUCGUAGCCUACCUGUCCGGUGAUCGGGUGGGUGGGA